UACGUAGGGUGCAAGCGUUGUCCGGAAUUAUUGGGCGUAAAGAGCUUGUAGGCGGUUUGUCGCUUCUGCUGUGAAAUUUCGGGGCUCAACCCCGAACUUGCAGUGGGUACGGGCAGACUAGAGUGUGGUAGGGGAGACUGGAAUUCCUGGUGUAGCGGUGAAAUGCGCAGAUAUCAGGAGGAACACCGAUGGCGAAGGCAGGUCUCUGGGCCACUACUGACGCUGAGAAGCGAAAGCAUGGGGAGCGAACAGG
This 253-nucleotide ribosomal RNA is filed under the name uncultured bacterium. Its description in RNAcentral is "partial 16S ribosomal RNA". It matches the Rfam family "Bacterial small subunit ribosomal RNA", at positions 524 to 776 of the family's 1533-position model. The record is from RNAcentral.